GAUGAACGCUAGCGGCAGGCUUAACACAUGCAAGUCGAGGGGUAUAGUAGCAAUACUAGAGACCGGCGCACGGGUGCGUAACGCGUAUGCAAUCUACCUUUUACAGAGGGAUAGCCCAGAGAAAUUUGGAUUAAUACCUCAUAGCAUUGCGAAAUGGCAUCAUUUUGCAAUUAAAGUCACAACGGUAAAAGAUGAGCAUGCGUCCCAUUAGCUAGUUGGUAAGGUAACGGCUUACCAAGGCAACGAUGGGUAGGGGUCCUGAGAGGGAGAUCCCCCACACUGGUACUGAGACACGGACCAGACUCCUACGGGAGGCAGCAGUGAGGAAUAUUGGACAAUGGGCGCAAGCCUGAUCCAGCCAUGCCGCGUGCAGGAUGACGGUCCUAUGGAUUGUAAACUGCUUUUGUUACGAGAAGAAACACUCCGACGUGUCGGAGCUUGACGAUAUCGUAAGAAUAAGGAUCGGCUAACU
This 472-nucleotide ribosomal RNA is filed under the name uncultured bacterium. RNAcentral's name for it is "bacterial SSU rRNA". It matches the Rfam family "Bacterial small subunit ribosomal RNA", at positions 28 to 502 of the family's 1533-position model. The record is from RNAcentral.